This 495-nucleotide ribosomal RNA is filed under the name uncultured bacterium. RNAcentral describes it as "bacterial SSU rRNA". It matches the Rfam family "Bacterial small subunit ribosomal RNA", at positions 29 to 523 of the family's 1533-position model. The record is from RNAcentral.
AGCGAACGUUUGCGGCGGGCCUAACACAUGCAAGUCGAACGCACUAGCAAUAGUGAGUGGCGCACGGGUGCGUAACACGUGGGUAAUCAACCCUUCAGCUUGGGAUAACGACUUGAAAGGGUCGCUAAUACCGGAUACGGCGCGGGAGGCUUCGGCUUCUCACGAGAAAGCCUCGCAAGGGGCACUGAAGGACGAGCCUGCGGCCCAUCAGCUAGUUGGUGAGGUAAGAGCUCACCAAGGCGAAGACGGGUAGCUGGUCUGAGAGGAUGAUCAGCCACACUGGAACUGAGACACGGUCCAGACUCCUACGGGAGGCAGCAGUGGGGAAUAUUGCGCAAUGGGCGAAAGCCUGACGCAGCCACGCCGCGUGAGCGAUGAAGGCCUCGGGUCGUAAAGACUCUGUGGGGAGAGACGAAGAAAGACCCGUGAAGAGCGGGCCUUGACGGUAGUCUCCUUAGCAAGCACCGGCUAACUCCGUGCCAGCAGCCGCGGUAA